AAAAUCCCAGGACUCCAACAGGGGUGGGGUAAGUCCUCGGUUCGAGGCUGGGCGCAGCCCUCAUCCUGUUUGUCCCCUUGAAGGAAGAUUUUUGGGGACAAAACCAAUGGGAUAUUUCCUAGGGCCAUCAGAAUGUGGUUGUAGAAAAGCAGCUUUCCCAUCUCACAGAAAUUCCCUGGCUUUUCAUUCAAUAACAGAUUAUUAAAAAAAAAACCAAAAAAACAACAAACCAACCAUCAAGAGUGCCCCUGUAAAAAAUUAAAUUAUAGGGAGGAAAAAAAAAAUCCAGGUGGGUUGAAAUACUUUUCAUUCCAAUUCACCUCUUAGAACUGCUUUAGCUGUCUGUAAAAUGGAAAUUCAAAAGAGCUACUUUUGAAUUUAGAAAAAGGGAAGAGUGGCCGUUCUUCGGUGCCAUGAAGACGCAACUGGCUUUGGGACACUUCUCCGUGUGGGAGUGGGAUCAUCCAUCCCCAGGCUGUGCAGGUGCCUGAGGCAGGUGGGAAUUCACCCCCCAAACCAACACCCAGUGGCAAGGCUGGGAAGCUGCUGGUCCCUCCUGUGUCACCCUGACCCGAGUCCCCAGCGCUGGGCAAAGGUUUGGGGGCAGCACCUGGGAGCAGGUUUGGGUCCAGCCUCCUCACAGAGUUUUGGGGUCUCUCUGAAGAUGUUUGGGUGCAAUAUCUGGGUGCAGCCUCCUCACAGGGGUUUUGGGGCCUCUCUGAGGUGUUUGGGUGCAAUAUUUGGGUGCAGAUUUGGGUCCAGCCUCCUCACAGAGUUUUGGGAGUGCCAUUCAUAGGAUGUAUGGCAGCAUUCUGUAAUACAUCAGUCCCACUUAUAACAUAAUAGCUGUAUAACUCAUACAAGGCUCUGGCUCAUGUGAGGCACGGAGGUCUACAUUCCACAGGGGAGGAAUAAGCAAUGCAGUUACACACCCUGUAGCUGGGUAAGAUUAGCAGGUUUGGGUGCAGCACCCCGACACAGCUCUGCUGCCCCAGGGGCUCUGGGGUGGGAUGUCGGGGUGUCACAGGAGGAGUCACAGAGCGCAGCUGGGGGUGUUGGGGUCUCUCUCUCGCUGUUCCCAUCUGUAAAUCGCCCCGUCCUGCCUCUGACCUCGAUGUCCCGAGCACUCUUUCCCCACCCGCCCCAUCCCCGGGGGGGGGGGGGGGGGGGGGGGGGGGGGGGGGGGGGGGGG
Molecule: long non-coding RNA, 1192 nt
Filed under: Ficedula albicollis (Collared flycatcher)
Lineage: Eukaryota; Metazoa; Chordata; Aves; Passeriformes; Muscicapidae
Description: lncRNA (ENSFALG00000023602.1)
Source: RNAcentral